RNAcentral lists this long non-coding RNA (901 nucleotides) under Manihot esculenta (cassava). RNAcentral describes it as "long non-coding RNA (MESC_LNC012189)". The record is from RNAcentral. Lineage: Eukaryota; Viridiplantae; Streptophyta; Magnoliopsida; Malpighiales; Euphorbiaceae.
UGACAUAUUUGGUUCAACACAAGUGAAAAUGAGUUCACGGAAACAAGAUAACAUAGAAGCAUUGAGUUCACCAGUGUCAUUUCCAAGAAGAUCAUUUUGUCGGACACAACGGAGUACUACAGGAGAUGACAGUUCUGCACUGAAUUCUCCUGUUUUCCCAACUUACAUGGCUGCAACAGAAUCUGCAAAGGCAAAGGCGAGGUAGAUGAGCACACCGAGGCAACGAAUAGGAAUUCAGGAUCAUUUUCUCAUUGACAGCUUAUCAUACAAAAGUGGACUUUCUUUUUGGUCUUCUUAUAACAGUGAAUGGUUCGGAAAUAGUAGCGAAGCUGCUCAGCGCGUUCCUGUAAGCGUAAAUCGCCAUUAUUGAUGAGAUGCCUGGCUUGCUUCUCAACAAAAUUAAUACCAACCAGAAGAGUUAAUGCUUCUCAAGAAUUACUUGAUCAGUCACUAACAAGACAAUGAAGUAACUUCAAGCUGUGGUCAUUGGAGAGCUCGAAUACACAGCGGCUCGAAUGAUCGUUCUUUGCCGGGAAAAUAUUUUUGUGGGGGUGAAUUGAAAGGUAUAAUUUUGUGUUAGAUCUAUGAUGUCCAUAAUCAAUCACUUGAUCACUUGCAUAUUAUAUAUUGAUUUUUCUUUUGAGGGGAGAGAGAGAGAGAGAGAUGAGGUUUUGUUUCUGUGUUUAUUGCAGAGGGUUGGGUGUGAGAGUUGGGGUUUUUGAGAAUGGUGUUAUGGAGCUAAGUAGUUGCAAUCAGCAGUGUAAUGUUUGGCUUGCAUUUUAAAAGAGCUCAGCAUGAAAUUGUUCACUAUACAUCAUCUCAUUCGUCCAUGAAAAAACUUGAAUAGUUAUGUUAGGACAAGGAUAAUAUGAAAUUAGAAAAUUUGAGGAUUAUGCUUUUC